CCUACGGGUGGCUGCAGUGGGGAAUUUUGGACAAUGGGCGAAAGCCUGAUCCAGCAAUGCCGCGUGCAGGACGAAGGCCUUCGGGUUGUAAACUGCUUUUGUACGGAACGAAAAGACACUGGCUAAUACCUGGUGUUGAUGACGGUACCGUAAGAAUAAGCACCGGCUAACUACGUGCCAGCAGCCGCGGUAAUACGUAGGGUGCGAGCGUUAAUCGGAAUUACUGGGCGUAAAGCGUGCGCAGGCGGUUUUGUAAGACAGAGGUGAAAUCCCCG
This 275-nucleotide ribosomal RNA is filed under the name uncultured bacterium. RNAcentral's name for it is "partial 16S ribosomal RNA". It matches the Rfam family "Bacterial small subunit ribosomal RNA", at positions 338 to 605 of the family's 1533-position model. The record is from RNAcentral.